This is a non-coding RNA of Notechis scutatus (mainland tiger snake), 91 nucleotides long. The record is from RefSeq and is a predicted model, not a curated record. Lineage: Eukaryota; Metazoa; Chordata; Lepidosauria; Squamata; Elapidae.
AAUGUGAUUGGGGGGUUUCACCCAUGUGGGAUCUAUUUUCCAAUUCAAAUGCUGUAUCUAUGCUGCUCUUCCUUGCUUGUAAAAAUGGUAU